Molecule: long non-coding RNA, 609 nt
Organism: Manis javanica (Malayan pangolin)
Lineage: Eukaryota; Metazoa; Chordata; Mammalia; Pholidota; Manidae
Source: RefSeq, a predicted model, not a curated record
UGGAGACACAACCAACAGAGACGGCCGCCAGAGGCACACGGCUCUGCCAGCCGCCAGGCGCUACAGAACCCAGAAGAAAAGAUGCCAGGAGCUAGACAAAGGAGGACAACAAUUAUGUCAGGUAAAGCUGGACUGACAUAUUUAUCCUGGUGAAUUCAAAAUGAAACAUGAGCCAUAAAAAAGGAUACAAAGUAUUAUGGGUUUACAAUGAAAGGAAGAAUUAACUUCAGCAUGUGGAAUCAAAGAAGACUGGCAAAAAGACAGCGGGAACUGAGGCUCCAAGCCCGGCAGUGUCCCCAGUCAACCUUUCAGAUGACGUCUGAAAUCAUGGUUAACUCCAGUCCUGUGAGAGGCUCUCCCUUAAAGGAUCCAGGAUUCCUGACUCACAGAAACUGAAAUUAAUAAAUGGGUAUUAAUUUAAGCUGCUAAGUUUUGUGGCAAUUUUUUAUGCAGCAACAAAUAACUAAUUCAGGAAGGGACAAAUGAAACAUUUGCAGUUCAUUUAGUACAUAGUUAUGAGGGGUUCUCUUUAUGCAAUUACUGUUAUAGUUACUUAAAAGCUUGGGAAGGUCAAUGACAGAAAGACCCUACCCUCAAGAAGUCUAGAGC